This 253-nucleotide ribosomal RNA is filed under the name uncultured bacterium. RNAcentral's name for it is "partial 16S ribosomal RNA". It matches the Rfam family "Bacterial small subunit ribosomal RNA", at positions 524 to 776 of the family's 1533-position model. The record is from RNAcentral.
UACGUAGGGUGCAAGCGUUGUCCGGAAUUAUUGGGCGUAAAGAGCUCGUAGGCGGUCUGUCGCGUCGGGAGUGAAAACCCAGGGCUUAACCCUGGGCUGGCUUCCGAUACGGGCAGACUAGAGGUAUGCAGGGGAGAACGGAAUUCCUGGUGUAGCGGUGAAAUGCGCAGAUAUCAGGAGGAACACCGGUGGCGAAGGCGGUUCUCUGGGCAUUACCUGACGCUGAGGAGCGAAAGUGUGGGGAGCGAACAGG